Molecule: transfer RNA, 104 nt
Organism: Fusarium oxysporum f. sp. cubense
Lineage: Eukaryota; Fungi; Ascomycota; Sordariomycetes; Hypocreales; Nectriaceae
Rfam family: tRNA
About the family: Transfer RNA (tRNA) molecules are approximately 80 nucleotides in length. Their secondary structure includes four short double-helical elements and three loops (D, anti-codon, and T loops).
Source: Rfam
GCGGGUUUAGCUCAGUUGGGAGAGCGUCAGACUGAAGUCAAACUUCAAUCCUCACCAAAUCAAGUGACAUCUGAAGGUCGUGUGUUCGAUCCACACAAACCGCA